RNAcentral lists this ribosomal RNA (463 nucleotides) under uncultured bacterium. RNAcentral's name for it is "partial 16S ribosomal RNA". It matches the Rfam family "Bacterial small subunit ribosomal RNA", at positions 30 to 507 of the family's 1533-position model. The record is from RNAcentral.
CGAACGCUGGCGGCGUGCUUAACACAUGCAAGUCGAACGGAAAGGCCCCUUUGGGGGUACUCGAGUGGCGAACGGGUGAGUAACACGUGAGUAACCUGCCCUUGACUUCGGGAUAACUUCAGGAAACUGGGGCUAAUACCGGAUAGGAAUCCUUGCUGCAUGGUGGGGGUUGGAAAGCUUCGGCGGUUUUGGGUGGACUGGCGGGUUAUCAGCUUGUUGGUGGGGUAUUGGCUUACCAAGGCUUUGACGGGUAGCCGGCCUGAGAGGGCGACCGGCCACAUUGGGACUGAGAGACGGCACAGACGCCUACGGGAGGCAGAAGGGGGGAAUAUUGCACAAUGGGCGGAAGCCGGAUGCAGAAACGCCGCGGGCGGGAUGACGGCCUUCGGGUUGUAAACCGCAUUCAGCAGGGGAGAAGCUUGUGGUGACGGUACCUGCAGAAGAAGCACCGGCUAACUACGUG